CCAACAGCCCCAGGUCCCCAGGCUGGGGACAGACUGCAUCCCACAGGGACUUAUCACAUCCCUCACCCACCCCUGGCACCUCACAGGGACCCGGGCAUCCCUCCCUGCCCCUCUGACCCUGCCUGAGGGUAUCCCGGGCAUCCCUCCCUGCCCCUCCAACCUCUGUCUGCAUGGAUGGGCAGGACAAGGCAGAACAAGGAAUUUGCCUCCAGGGGCUUAAAAAAUUCCCACACACCUGUGACUGCAGGUGGGGCGAGUUCAGCCCUAGGGCUCAGGACCAGCACAGGGGCUCCAUCCCAACCUCCUGCCACUGCACCACAUCUCUCUGCCCCUUGUUUGGUCCAGCACUGCUCCCACGGGCAGUGGGGGAUGCUGCAGCACCCUGGGCUGCCUGACAAGCAGGAGAGCAUCAGGGACGGGAUGUGAGGAGCAGCAGGGUCAGGCCCUGGAGCACCACAGGUGAAGGAACAUGAGAGCAACAGGAUGAAUUUGGUGAAGGAGGCUGGCAUUCCCUGGCUGCCAGGUCAGCGAAGUCCCCAGGCCAGGACAAGCAAGGCAAGACUCCCCCAGCGCCUCUCCCUCCCCAGCCAGCCAUCCCCGAGGAGGCCUUAUCUGCCUCUAAUGCUUCGCAGCAGCCUCCCUCCCCAAAGCUUGCGGGCUUGGCAAGAUGCUCUGAGACUGCAUUUGCUCCAAAUGGAUUGUAUCGAGGGGAGAACAAAGCACUGGAGAGUUUUCAAAGCGGAGCUGUGAUCGCAGCCCGCAGCAGAGGUGGCUAGUCCCUGGUGGAACCUCCCAGGGGACCCUCUGGGGUCCAGGCUCAGCCCCAAAACCCAGCAGGCAGUGGCUGCUGCCCCUCAGCUCAAUGUCCCAGCCCUGGCUCUGCCAUUCCCCACUGGUGUCCGGGCAGGGGCCAUUCAACAAGUGCUGGCCAGAAGACAACAGCUCCAUUUUCACCAAAAAAAUGUUCUGCUGCAAAAUCUGGCUUUGCUCCAGCUACAAAUGAAAAAAUUAGGUGGUUGUUUUUUUUUUCUUUCCUGCUGCAGAGUUUCUUGGAAAGCUGGUGUGGGGCAGGCACUGGAGCAAACGCUGACCUUGGCAUCACGCCCUUGCCCACUUGUCUCCCCAUCCCUGGUGCAGGAAGCUCCAGGCAGAGCAACUGGCAGAGCGGAUUUUUUUCUCUAACACACUCAAGAAUGUGGGGAGAAAAAGGGAAAUAUGAGAAUAUCCUCUGUUGAUCUGAGCACAAAUUGCAAUCACAGUCAGGAAGGGGUGAAGGUGUGGAGCUUCCCCUGUCCAGCCUGUGCUCCCUUUGGAAAGAUGGGUACAGGUGAUGCCAGGACUGACCCAGAGCGCUGUGGGCUGCAUGAACCAGGGUGCUCUGUGGUGAGGUGUUCCCAAGGAAGCGCUGGCACACAGGGAACCACACCUGCCAGGAAGGGCUGGAGCAGAAAAAGUAACCAAGAAAUGAGACCAGAAAGUUGUGUUGGCUUGGCUUUCCCUCGGAUCCUCAGGAAAGAUGGUGUCAGCAGUGAGUCAGCUCCUGGAGAAUGAACUUUCAUCCAAAUUAACACAGGACAUUGCCCAGCUGGAAUGUCCCCUUGCUCCAGCUGAAGCCACCCUGUGCCACAUGGCCCUGCAGCCAGAGGACUCCAGGCAGGACAAGGCUGGGAGAGAAGGCUGCCUGCAAGGCUCAGCUAUUACAACUGUUGUUAAUUC
Cyanistes caeruleus (blue tit) is the source of this 1716-nucleotide long non-coding RNA. RefSeq lists it as uncharacterized. The record is from RefSeq and is a predicted model, not a curated record. Lineage: Eukaryota; Metazoa; Chordata; Aves; Passeriformes; Paridae.